This 253-nucleotide ribosomal RNA is filed under the name uncultured bacterium. RNAcentral describes it as "partial 16S ribosomal RNA". It matches the Rfam family "Bacterial small subunit ribosomal RNA", at positions 524 to 776 of the family's 1533-position model. The record is from RNAcentral.
UACGUAGGGACCAAGCGUUGUCCGGAAUCAUUGGGCGUAAAGCGCGUGUAGGCGGCCCUGAAAGUCUGGUGUGAAAACUUGAGGCUCAACCUCAAGCUGUCGCUGGAUACUGCAGGGCUUGAGUCCGGAAGAGGAGUGUGGAAUUCCUGGUGUAGCGGUGGAAUGCGCAGAUAUCAGGAGGAACACCGAUGGCGAAGGCAGGUCUCUGGGCUGUAACUGACGCUGAGGAGCGAAAGCAUGGGGAGCGAACAGG